Molecule: ribosomal RNA, 393 nt
Filed under: Rhizosolenia sp.
Lineage: Eukaryota; Bacillariophyta; Coscinodiscophyceae; Rhizosoleniales; Rhizosoleniaceae
Description: partial small subunit ribosomal RNA
Rfam family: Eukaryotic small subunit ribosomal RNA
Source: RNAcentral
AUUCCAGCUCCAAUAGUGUAUAUUAAAGUUGUUGCAGUUAAAAAGCUCGUAGUUGGAUUUCUGGCGGGAGCGAUCGGUCCUUCACUCAGUGUUGGAACCUGAUUGUCUCCUGCCAUCCAUGGAGAAAACUUAUCUGGCAUUAAGUUGUCGGGUAGGCAAUCUCCAUCUUUUACUGUGAAAAAAUUAGAGUGUUCAAAGCAGGCUUAUGCCGUUGAAUAUAUUAGCAUGGAAUAAUAAGAUACGACACUGGUGGUCUAUUUUGUUGGUUUGCACACCAGAGUAAUGAUUAAUAGGGACAGUUGGGGGUAUUCGUAUUCCAGUGGAAGAGGUGAAAUUCUUGGAUUUAUGGAAGACGAACUGCUGCGAAAGCGUCGAACAAGGACGUUCUCAUUA